AUUGAACGCUGGCGGCAUGCUUUACACAUGCAAGUCGAACGGCAGCGCGGGGCAACCUGGCGGCGAGUGGCGAACGGGUGAGUAAUAUAUCGGAACGUACCCAAGAGUGGGGGAUAACGUAGCGAAAGUUACGCUAAUACCGCAUACGAUCUAUGGAUGAAAGCAGGGGACCGCAAGGCCUUGUGCUCCUGGAGCGGCCGAUAUCUGAUUAGCUAGUUGGUGAGGUAAAGGCUCACCAAGGCGACGAUCAGUAGCUGGUCUGAGAGGACGACCAGCCACACUGGAACUGAGACACGGUCCAGACUCCUACGGGAGGCAGCAGUGGGGAAUUUUGGACAAUGGGCGCAAGCCUGAUCCAGCAAUGCCGCGUGAGUGAAGAAGGCCUUCGGGUUGUAAAGCUCUUUUGUCAGGGAAGAAACGGUGGAGGCUAAUAUCCUUCGCUAAUGACGGUACCUGAAGAAUAAGCACCGGCUAACUACGUGCCAGCAGCCGCGGUAAUACGUAGGGUGCAAGCGUUAAUCGGAAUUACUGGGCGUAAAGCGUGCGCAGGCGGUUUUGUAAGUCUGUCGUGAAAGCCCCGGGCUCAACCUGGGAAUUGCGAUGGAGACUGCAAGGCUUGAAUCUGGCAGAGGGGGGUAGAAUUCCACGUGUAGCAGUGAAAUGCGUAGAGAUGUGGAGGAACACCGAUGGCGAAGGCAGCCCCCUGGGUCAAGAUUGACGCUCAUGCACGAAAGCGUGGGGAGCAAACAGGAUUAGAUACCCUGGUAGUCCACGCCCUAAACGAUGUCUACUAGUUGUCGGGUUUUAAUUAACUUGGUAACGCAGCUAACGCGUGAAGUAGACCGCCUGGGGAGUACGGUCGCAAGAUUAAAACUCAAAGGAAUUGACGGGGACCCGCACAAGCGGUGGAUGAUGUGGAUUAAUUCGAUGCAACGCGAAAAACCUUACCUACCCUUGACAUGUACGGAAGCCACGAGAGAUCGAGGUGUGCUCGAAAGAGAGCCGUAACACAGGUGCUGCGUGGCUGUCGUCAGCUCGUGUCGUGAGAUGUUGGGUUAAGUCCCGCAACGAGCGCAACCCUUGUCAUUAGUUGCUACGAAAGAGCACUCUAAUGAGACUGCCGGUGACAAACCGGAGGAAGGUGGGGAUGACGUCAAGUCCUCAUGGCCCUUAUGGGUAGGGCUUCACACGUCAUACAAUGGUACAUACAGAGGGCCGCCAACCCGCGAGGGGGAGCUAAUCCCAGAAAGUGUAUCGUAGUCCGGAUUGUAGUCUGCAACUCGACUACAUGAAGUUGGAAUCGCUAGUAAUCGCGGAUCAGCAUGUCGCGGUGAAUACGUUCCCGGGUCU
RNAcentral lists this ribosomal RNA (1350 nucleotides) under uncultured bacterium. Its description in RNAcentral is "bacterial SSU rRNA". It matches the Rfam family "Bacterial small subunit ribosomal RNA", at positions 28 to 1381 of the family's 1533-position model. The record is from RNAcentral.